Molecule: ribosomal RNA, 264 nt
Filed under: uncultured bacterium
Lineage: Bacteria
Description: partial 16S ribosomal RNA
Rfam family: Bacterial small subunit ribosomal RNA
Source: RNAcentral
GAUCCUGGCUCAGGAUGAACGCUAGCUACAGGCUUAACACAUGCAAGUCGAGGGGCAGCAUGACCUAGCAAUAGGUUGAUGGCGACCGGCGCACGGGUGAGUAACACGUAUCCAACCUACCGGUUAUUCCGGGAUAGCCUUUCGAAAGAAAGAUUAAUACCGGGUAGUAUAACGAGAAGGCAUCUUUUUGUUAUUAAAUAAUUUCGAUAACCGAUGGGGAUGCGUUCCAUUAGUUUGUUGGCGGGGUAACGGCCCACCAAGACA